This 77-nucleotide transfer RNA is filed under the name bacterium. Its description in RNAcentral is "tRNA-Arg". It matches the Rfam family "tRNA". From Rfam's summary of the family: Transfer RNA (tRNA) molecules are approximately 80 nucleotides in length. Their secondary structure includes four short double-helical elements and three loops (D, anti-codon, and T loops). RNAcentral also lists the same sequence under 1 other name. The record is from RNAcentral.
GCGCCCGUAGCUCAGCUGGAUAGAGCGUCGGCUUCCUAAACCGGGGGUCGCAGGUUCGAGUCCUGCCGGGCGCACCA